This 561-nucleotide ribosomal RNA is filed under the name uncultured Gigaspora. RNAcentral describes it as "SSU rRNA". It matches the Rfam family "Eukaryotic small subunit ribosomal RNA", at positions 548 to 1114 of the family's 1831-position model. The record is from RNAcentral. Lineage: Eukaryota; Fungi; Glomeromycota; Glomeromycetes; Diversisporales; Gigasporaceae.
UUGGAGGGCAAGUCUGGUGCCAGCAGCCGCGGUAAUUCCAGCUCCAAUAGCGUAUAUUAAAGUUGUUGCAGUUAAAAAGCUCGUAGUUGAAUUUCGGGGUUCUACCGUUGGUCGGGCAAUUGUCUGUACUGGCGUGUGGAAUUUCUACCUUCUGGGGAACCAUCAUGUUAUUAAUUUAGCGUGGUGGGAAACCAGGACCUUUACCUUGAAAAAAUUAGAGUGUUCAAAGCAGGCUUACGUCUGAAUACAUUAGCAUGGAAUAAUAAAAUAGGACGGUGGUCCUGUUUUGUUGGUUUCUGAAUCACCGUAAUGAUUAAUAGGGAUAGUUGGGGGCAUUAGUAUUCAAUUGUCAGAGGUGAAAUUCUUGGAUUUAUUGAAGACUAACUUCUGCGAAAGCAUUUGCCAAGGAUGUUUUCAUUAAUCAAGAACGAAAGUUAGGGGAUCGAAGACGAUCAGAUACCGUCGUAGUCUUAACCAUAAACUAUGCCGACUAGGGAUCGGACGAUGUUAAUUUUUCUUGACUCGUUCGGCGCCUUACGGGAAACCAAAGUGUUUGGGUUC